Schizophyllum amplum is the source of this 98-nucleotide non-coding RNA. NCBI's taxonomy places the organism in Eukaryota, Fungi, Basidiomycota, Agaricomycetes, Agaricales, Schizophyllaceae. The record is from the annotation of a GenBank genome assembly.
GCCCGCCUAGCUCAAUCGGAUAGAGCGUCAGACUCUUACACGGUCUGAAAUGGCCAGGCGACAUCUGAAGGCUGCGAGUUCGACCCUCGCGGUGGGCU